AAGGCGGCGUUGCCCAGGCAUAAUCCUACCCCCACUGGCUGAGAAAGGGAAAGCGCUGGCUGUGGGCGGGUGCUUCUUGUCCAGCUUGGGGAGACUUUUCCCGCGCCACAAGAGGGAAAGACAGCCAGGAGCCUAGAGUGCGGCCCGACCCAUCCCGUGCCUACAGCUUCGCUUUCACUAUUGUUCAACCUGGACUAUAACAACGGCCUGCACUGGUUCUGAACUGCCCAAUAUUUCAAUCUGUGUCUGUGUCACCCAUUGGCAGAAUGGAGCUAAUUCGCCCACUGUG
Long non-coding RNA from Tupaia belangeri chinensis (Chinese tree shrew), 289 nucleotides. RefSeq lists it as uncharacterized. Lineage: Eukaryota; Metazoa; Chordata; Mammalia; Scandentia; Tupaiidae. The transcript has 2 exons. The record is from RefSeq and is a predicted model, not a curated record.